UUAACUGUAGGUUGUGAGUUUGUGAUGUUUUUCAUAGUGAUUUGUGGAUAUGUUAAGAACAAAACUUUUGUAUAUUUAAUGGUUAGUCUUGUACCUUAAAUGGUUGUAUUUAGUUUAUUUAUUGUGGUUGUUGGCUACUUGGUAUUGUGUCAUUUUGACUCACUGAUGGUUGUGUUAAUUUCAGGUACAUUUAUGUUGAGUUAUAUGAUUUUUAAAUUGAUUUUCUAGACCAUACAUACUGUGCAUUAAAUGUUGAUCCAUAUAUCUGUACUAUACAGCUUAACAUGGAAGAUGGCUUUUUUUUUACCAUUAUAAUGCCUCUUAUUUUUAUUAAGUUGAUGGAGGAAAUAAUUAUAAUUCAAGAUUAUGAAUUUCUUCUUGCUUAUGAAAAGUUCUGAAAAAUUAUCAAGUUAAGACAGUGGGAUGAUAAAAGUUAUAAACUGGAAUUAGUUAUUUCAAUAAUUAGUUUUAUGCCCUUAAAAAGAGGAUUUCAUGCUUUCGAACGCUUCUCAUAUGGUUGUAUAGAAAUAUUUUUGGCAGUAAUUGUGACCACUAUCAGUGCUCUAUCAUAUACUCUUUCCACUUAGCACCUGUUGCAGUUCAUGGAUGUUGAUUAGUUAGUGGUUAAGUGUCUUGUGUAAUGAACAUCCACAAAUUGUGACCAUGUUUAGGAGGAAUACUUGUGUUAAGACAUGAAAUCAGGGGUUCAAAGUUGGCAUAACAAUUUUGGAACUGUGGGUGUGCCUAAAAAUCAGUGUUAUGCCAACUUAAUCUAGUACCUGUUUUGGGAGAUAUUUGCAAAUCCCCAUCACAUGAAUAUUUUUACAUGGAUAAGUCCAGGGGUUGAGAGUUGCCAUAAUACUUUGUGUUAACUUUUAUUUGCACAUGUAUACAAGUGCAGUUGCUCCAAAAAGGGUUGUCAAAAUCUUUCAUUCGUUGUGUCAUAUUGUAAUGAUACUUUUUUGGAGCGAUUGUACAUGCAUACACACACACACACACACUCACACACACACACACACAUAUAUACACAUACACAUGUAUGUUCCAAAAGUAGUGCUGUGUCAACUUUGAACUUUGGUAUGAUCCCCUAAAUGUGUGCAUAUAUCAUCAUUGGCUUAAAAGUACAUGUAAAAUUUAAGUAAGUGAAAAAUUUUCAAAAUUUCAGAGUUAGUGUUUGUUCAAGGGUUUAACCUCUAGUGGGUCAAUAGUAUCAUUAUUUUUGUUCUCUUCUUUUUGGUAAUGGCAGUACAGUAGAGUACUAUACAUUAUAUAGUACUUAUUCAUAAUUGAUCCCAAAAUUUUAGUAAGUGUUUGAUCCAUAAUUGAUUUUAGUAAAUUUUAUUGGUGAAACAAUGUUGAGGUGUAUUUCAUUGUCGCACAUGUUGUGUGUGUAUGGUUGUUCAUCUCACCGUACUCUUGGGAAGAUUUAUGUGUCCGUACAUUGGCCUGCUGUAUACAAUACUGUACAGUAUAAGACUAGUGGUCAGCAACUGUGUUGCUUUGUAUGGCUGGAGAAACUUUUCCCGUGUUAGUAAUUUAUAUUUUCGGAAACUAUAUUUUGACAGGGUUUUCUAGUAAGAAGCAAUACAGUACAAGAUUAAGUUUUGAGAGAUUUGCUUCAGUGAAACAGAUUUGUAAAAUUAUGACAUUCAUCUUGUUUAGAUGGGGAAAAGUGCUAGGAAUAAAUUUUUAGCCAAAAUUUUAGCUGUCUCCAACGUCCUUGAAAAUGUUUAUUAAUAACAGUGGGGUAUAAUGUUUGUGUACACAAGUACAUGCUGCCUUAAUUUAAAGAGGUAAAAUUUGAAUUAUAAACCUCUAUACAUUAAAUGGCCCACUGCAAAUCUCAAAUUCAUCUUUCCUUGGGUAUCAUUUGAAAAUAGAUUUUUUGCUUUUGGUACAGAUUUUCAUAUAAGUUAAAGGACAAUUUUUUUUAGAUUUCUGAAUUUUAAUUGAUUUCAUAAAUAUGCCACAUUCAAUUUUCCUUUUAAAAGACCUCGUUUAAAUUUAAUUAUUUUUGCUUGUUCUAUAUCAUUUUGAAUUAUUGUUCACAUGUGCACUUGGCAUCCAUACGAACAAUGAAAGUCAGAUUUGUUAAAUAAGAAUAUUCACUGGAAUAUACAGUAAUUUUGUACAUCAUGAUUAAUUAUUGACACACCCAACAGGUGGUGUCACUUUGGUCAUAAAUGUUGAAACUGAUGCUAGUAGCCAGCCUCUUUCUUACUUGGUAUUUAUUUAUUUAUUUAUUUGUUAUUUAUAGGGGGGUGCCUCCUCUGGUUGUAGUGUUGGGACCUUUAUCCUUACAGUAGUGAACAGAGAGAGCAAAGCAAACUGGGGUAUGGGAUGUUUUCUCCCUGGUUAUGUUUGCAUAUACGUACUGUAGUCUUCUCGUCCAUCCCUCUUUUGGAAUAUACUGUAUAUAUUUGUUUAUUUACAUAUUGAGAGAUUUGAAUGGUUUAUAGGAGUGGCUGAGAAAGGUUCACUAAUCCAGGACCUGAGGUUUGUUAGGGUGAUCCAACACAAACAUUUUCUCUCACUGUCAUCACUAACCAGAUAUGGAAAUUGUUAUCAGUUGUUACCUUCCCUAACACUAAUAAGAAUUUUUCUUGAUCACAUCUUGCUUUAUUAACUUUUUAUUAUUUUAUCCGACCCCUUACUUACUCCAGUGAAUUUUACAUUAUUAUUAAUACACCCAGGAAAUACAAUGAAGGAGUUCCUAUGAUUUGGUGCAUAAUAUUGAUUAAUACUUAGCAAUGGUGUCAGUUUUGUGUUCAUCUACAAUAUUGUGUGAUGCUAUGUUACCUGGUGCUGCAGUUGUGGCUGCUUACUACGAGCCAUUGUUUUGUUAAGGAAAAAUAAAUCCUGCGAGUGAUGUAUAUUGUUCUUCUGAGUGAUGUGUUGCUUGUGAAUGAAUGCCUUAUUUUGGACACUGCAGUUGUUUUGAACAGGUCUACUGCCUUUCUUUUGUUGGGGAAUUUCUCUCUCUUGUGUGAUUUUAAUCUGAACUGAACAAAUACAGCAGUAUGAAAAGUUAGGGUUACUAAUCUCAGGUGAAUGAAAUUACAUGCAUACAUAGACAUAUACAUACAUACAUACAUACAUACAUACAUACAUACAUACAUACAUACAUACAUACAUAGAGAGAGGGAGAGAGUGAGCGAUAUACUGUACAAAAUAUAUUUUCAUACAAAGCUUCAGGUGUAGUGCAGAUUGGCUGGACAGGUGUUGAUUUGAGGCUCCCAUUCAGCUAGUAGGUUGUUCCACCGCUUCACCCAAGGUUGUCUGCCAUCGCUAGCAUAUUAAGAGGGAACCCAGUCUUGCACUUUGUUUGGGAAUAUAACACUUGACACUAAUGUUGGGAGUGUGUGUGUUAGGCUAUGGUGUUGGAGUUUUUCUUUUCUGUUUCUUUAAACAUCACUUAUACCUACUCUGGAAAGCUGUACUGUAGUGAAUUUGAUAAAAGUCCACAGCUUGAAAGCAAAGCCAACAACCUUCUCACAAAGACAGCAGAAACAGCUACCGGUAGAGUGAGUGAGUGGUUAGAUGGUAAUGCCCUUUUUCCAUGAUCCUCUCCCCCUUCCCCCACUAGCAUGUCAACAUGAGUUAAAAUGAAGUGACAGUAUUUGAGUUUUGUUGUUGAUAGAAAUAUGACUUCAUAGUUCUCUUGGUAAGGUAUAUAUCUUUGAAUUCUUCUGUGAAACUAUAAAGUAUUGUUUUACAUUUACCAUUUGGUUUUACCUUGAUUCUUAUUAUACAUCAGAGAGACAUGGCUUAAAACCUGUGUAGGUAACACUGAAAUUAAAUCCCACUGUAGGAGAAGAUAAAACAGAAAAACAAGAGCAUUUUGUAUUUUGACCGUAACCUAUAGUCCUCUUCAGCAGUGGGGUUUGUGUGUUAUAAUUUAUGUGGUACUCUGUUACAUAAUUUUCUCAGCUAUCUAGCUUGAUUCUGUAUAACUGGAAGGCCUUCUUAUGAUAGCCCUUUUUUGUUCAUCAGUUUUGAAAGACAUUGAAGAGCUGUUUUUAUCCCCUUGUUUGGUAAAGUGCUUAUAUUUAACUUCCUUUAGCCAACAAGCAUUGCAUCCUCUCAGAGCUACUGUUUUGUACAGAAAGCAAAAUUAUUCUGUUACAGCAUAAGACACUUGUUCCUUUCUAAUCCAUUUUGGUGUUGUGUUGCAUAAAUGUUUUCACCUUUGCAAGUUCUUGGCUGGUGCAUGUGGUUACUGUGCUGAUGUGACUGCCAUACUCACAUCUCUUUUCAGUUUAAUUGUUGUAUGGGCUUCCCUUGUGUGGUGGAAAGUUGUCAGUUGAGUGAAAAUCUGCUAAACAGUUGUCAUUUUCCUAUUGAAACCCAUUGCAGUAUACAGUACAAUUAUUAAUAAAUACAGUACAGUAUGCACAAAAAUUCUGUAAUAAAUACUUAGAACUCAAAUUUAGUCAUAAUAGAAAUACAGGGUCAAGUACACUUUCCAGACACUGGUGAUAAACACUUGAGUGUCUGACUUCUGUCAAUCCUCAUUAACUUAUCUAAUUUCACCUCAAGUAAUAAUCUUCCUGUUUUUUUUUAUAACAUCAGUACUUAAUGAUCUCUUGCCAGACAUAAUUAGAGGGGUGAAUUGCCUUGAAAAGUGAAAAUCAAAACAAACCAGAACUGCUAAACACAGAAUUUACAAGUGAAGUGUGGGAAUUACACUAACGAAAAGUGCCACUAAUGUCAACUCAAAGUAGGAGACUUACUCUGACAAACAGAAGACCUUUAUCUACAGGUUUAACAAAUCAUUCCCCCAUCCCCUCAUUUUUCCCUCUGUUUAUAUUUAAAAUUUUGAUAGUCCAAGUUUGUGAAAUUUUUACCUUAAUUUUUACAUUUCAUAACUUCACAAUUCUGCACAACACACCUCUUUUUCAUUAACCUCACCUUGAAUAUUACCACUUUAUGUUGUAAUGAGAAAGGAUUGUAAGAGAAAAAUUGGUAUGAAAGAGUGAAUAUCAGAAUGAACUAGUGCAUUUAUUUAGCCAUAUUCCUUGAGGUAGUUAGAAUAGUAUGUUGUCUUAGGCUGAAAGAUUUUAAUGAAAUUUGGCUUUUUUGUGUGUCCUUCAUCCUUAAAUGCCAUAGAGCAAUGUAACAAUAAUAAUCUGCAUAAGUCAUCAGGUUUUAUAGAAAGUUAGAGCAUAAUGAUUGAAGGUGACCUGGCCAUGUCUCUUUAUCAAUACAGUAUUUUAGUUUCACGUAAGAUUUCAUUUAUAAUUUUUCAGUACUUGUACAGUCAGACCAUAAAUUACAGGCAUCCCCCAGGUUACGGGAGGCAUGUGUCAUUGAAAAUUUGUCCAUAACAUGAAAUUCCAUAAUGCAAAACCAAUUUUCCCAUUGACUUCCAUUAUAUAAUUGGAGAUGUGUUCCCAGGGAAAUAUUUUUGGCAAAAAGAUGUAAUACAAUCACAUUUAUGAAUGAAAUUAAUAUUUUUUUAAUACAUACAUUGAUUAUUUUAUGAUAUAAUAUGGUAAUAAAUAUGCAAUACACUUGAAUUUAACUUACCACAAACGAUGUUGAGUGCUGCGUUAGGUGAGGUGGUGCAAUCGGAGUUACUGGGAGGGAGACGAAGGGGCACUACUGGCUCCUGCCUCGCCCUGUACAGUAUUGUAGAAAUCCACACGAAAUAAAUUUUAUAAUUUCUGUGAAUUUUUUUCUAAUACUUGUAGUAUUGAAGAAAAAAAAUUACUGUACCGUACUUAAAAAAUUUACCCAAUUUCCGUAAGGGCGAAUUUUUUGUCCGUAUCCCGAAUUUAUUGGUCAUCAUUUACAAAAUCCGUAAGAGCGAAUUUCCAUAACCCGGGGGAUGCCUGUAAUUUUACCUCUGGAGUUUGAUGGAUUUAAAAAUGAACACUUCCUCUCUUGUCUUCUUGAUAUGGUUGGUAAUCGUGAUUGAAAAGUCAUUUCCAUUAUCCCUAUUUUCUGAAAUAUUCUCAUCAUAUUUUAAAACAGAAUUACACAAAAAAAAUUGCCUUAUGAUUUAGAUUUUUUUUUUUUUAGAUUGCCCCCGAGGGGGCUAGUUUAUUGGGCACCCCCCUUACAUCCUGUGCAAGGUGAAGCGCAGAAGCGUUUACAGCGCCCAUCUGGGAAGCAUACUAAGUUCAUGCUUGCCUUUAUGACUCGUGCAUUAAGGACUUAUGAUAAGUUACAUAUUCCUGUACAAAGAAAGCAGGGCUACCAAUGUGAAGCCAGGUGAGAGCUUUGUACUGAAUUUUUGCUGGUUUGUCAUAUUGUUUGUCACUGAAAGGGAUAUAGUAAUUUAUGGUCUGUCUGUACAUAACUAUUAGACUGUACAGUCACAAUCCAAAGUUUCAACACCCCCCCUGGCUGGGUGUUCGCUGAGGCCAGGGUUGAGGUAAGGCUGGGUGAUCGGACGCAGACUAGUUAAGCAAUGUGGCAACGAGGCACUACAGUGCUCGUGUGCUGUGAGUCUCGGAGCGUUGUGGUGGUGGAAUGUCUGCAUCCGAUCACCCAGCCCUGGCUUCGGUGAACACCCAGCCCGAGGUGGGGGGUGUUGAAACUUUGGAUUGUGACUGUACAGUACAGAACAAUUAGACAGAAUAGAAGUUUGUUUUGUGUGUAUUUACUUACUGUAAUAUCAUUUGAUGGCCACAAGCUUGUAUUCUAUAAUUGAACUGAGUCUGUUUCCCUUAGUUGGUUUUAAGUGAACUACGGUAGUCAUCCAUUUUACAAGUGACAGUAGUUAACCUUGAGUCAGAUGGAGCAUACAAUGUCCCCUUGACGGAGAGAGAAUUGCUGCUGUUAUGUACCAAAAGUAUUUCAUCUGGAGAGUGGACAUCCCUUGCACUUAAAACAGUGUCUAUAAAGUAAACGUCAUACCUUUGUCAGGUUAUUCAGGAUUGCCGCCAAGCUCAGUACAGUAUUAACUAUUGCUUGAUCAUUAAUGGUUCUUUAUGGUACUGCUAAAAAAGAAUCAUGAUAAAUAUAAUGUACAGUGUAACAAAAAGUACGUAUACAAGUGAUUUGAAAGAAGAAAAAAGGGGGUAAUAAUAUGCAUAAAAGAAAUGACAAAGGGAAGGAGGUACAAGCCAUCUGUUUGAUUAUAAAUAUACAUGUAGUACCAUCAAUUAAGUAUACAGUACCCUGUAUAUGCAUUUUUAUAGUUGAAGCAAGAGGAAAGAACCUAUGGUAUAUCUGUUGGUUAUGCAGACGUCAUAUACAGUACAAGUACUAGUAGCGUAGUUGUUCAAGCCUUUUCCAUUGCCAUAGACAUUAGAAAAAUAAUUAUAAAUACAAUAUUGAAUUCAUUUGUAACAUCAAAUCUUUCUAGUUUAGUUUCUCCCAUUUUUAAUCCUUAUUUUCAGUUGUGUAGCCUGUUUUCUUUGUCAUUAUUUCUAUACCAUUUUCUUUUUGCAUUUCUCCUAUUUAUUCUUGACACUUAAAGUUUAUGCUCUUGUUUUAUUGCAUACGUAGUUAGUUUCCUCUCAUGUGAACACCUAUUAUUCUUUAAGCUGCUGAAUGCAGACUUUCCUCCCAUAGUCUGGUAAGUAUGCUGUAUCAGUCUUGGAGGCUUCCUUGUUCACCUGCCUCCUCACCACUUUAGUAACUCAUUCAAAGUUUUCAAUUUUGAAGGGAAAUUAAUAAAUACUUUACAGGAUGGAUGGGCACCUCUCACACUCAUUGAUUAGAAUUUUAAAGCCUCUUGAGUACUGUACAUGGCUUAACUGAAUACUUUCUGUUACCUGUACUGUGUUGUGUUUUAAAGACUGCUCUGACUGCAGGGAAGGACAGGGUAUUGUUCAGUGUGUUUGAGUUUCAAUUUUGUUACAGUUUGUAAAUCUUUGUGGGUUAUAAGUUAGUGUUGUAUAUAAUAUCAAGAUGAUAGUGGUCAAAGGUUGUGUUUGUUGGGUUUAUGAUGGGAGACAUAGUGUUCAUUUAUACAGGUAUCUUCACCAGUAGAUUCAAUUAAUAUCACUGCCAUAGAAAUACACGAUCUUGAUGCCUGUAUAAAAAUAGCAGAAUCCUUUCGAGUAAACUGACAGUGUUAUGAAGCAAAUGAGGUCACCAUUUGUGUUUGCAGAUCAUAUAUUUGAGUGGCCUAAUGUGCCAUACUGCUUCCAUUAUUGGUACUUAUCACUACAGUACAGUACCAGGAGGAGCACAGGAGAUGGGUUCUUUGUGUUUUGGGGUUAUAAUUUUUACACAAGUGUAUAUGGUGAAGAUUACUAUUUUUUUUCUUUUAAUACCUGUAUUGGAAAAUAUUUGUGUUUGUCAUGCUUUAUUUAUGAUAUUAAUCAUUAUGUGCACCUGGAACUUGCCUUGUUGAUAAGAAGAUUGACAGAAUGCAUCGACAGUGCCUCAUUUGUUACCUCAGGAGAGAGUUGCACGUUCCUGCAAAAUAUCAAAAUGACAUGGAGUAAUGUUUAUUAAUAAAGGAAAUGAUAAAU
This 8432-nucleotide long non-coding RNA is filed under the name Homarus americanus (American lobster). RNAcentral's name for it is "uncharacterized LOC121877387". Lineage: Eukaryota; Metazoa; Arthropoda; Malacostraca; Decapoda; Nephropidae. The record is from RNAcentral.